This 427-nucleotide ribosomal RNA is filed under the name uncultured bacterium. RNAcentral describes it as "bacterial SSU rRNA". It matches the Rfam family "Bacterial small subunit ribosomal RNA", at positions 355 to 774 of the family's 1533-position model. The record is from RNAcentral.
UGGGGAAUUUUGGACAAUGGGCGAAAGCCUGAUCCAGCCAUGCCGCGUGAGUGAAGAAGGCCUUCGGGUUGUAAAGCUCUUUUAGUCGGAAAGAAAGAGUUGCAAUGAAUAAUUGUGAUUUAUGACGGUACCGACAGAAAAAGCACCGGCUAACUACGUGCCAGCAGCCGCGGUAAUACGUAGGGUGCGAGCGUUAAUCGGAAUUACUGGGCGUAAAGCGUGCGCAGGCGGUUUUGUAAGACAGAGGUGAAAUCCCCGGGCUCAACCUGGGAACUGCCUUUGUUACUGCAAGGCUGGAGUGCGGCAGAGGGGGAUGGAAUUCCGCGUGUAGCAGUGAAAUGCGUAGAUAUGCGGAGGAACACCGAUGGCGAAGGCAAUCCCCUGGGCCUGCACUGACGCUCAUGCAUGAAAGCGUGGGGAGCAAACA